RNAcentral lists this transfer RNA (85 nucleotides) under Felis catus (domestic cat). It matches the Rfam family "tRNA". From Rfam's summary of the family: Transfer RNA (tRNA) molecules are approximately 80 nucleotides in length. Their secondary structure includes four short double-helical elements and three loops (D, anti-codon, and T loops). RNAcentral also lists the same sequence under 1 other name. The record is from Rfam by way of RNAcentral. Lineage: Eukaryota; Metazoa; Chordata; Mammalia; Carnivora; Felidae.
GCCUGAGUGGCUCAGUUGGUUGAGCAUCUGACUUCAGCUCAGGUCAUGAUCUCAGGGUUUGUGUGUUCAAGCCCCACAUCGGGCU